UACGUAGGGCGCAAGCGUUGUCCGGAAUUAUUGGGCGUAAAGAGCUCGUAGGCGGUCUGUUACGUCCGCUGUGAAAACUCAGGGCUUAACCCUGAGCUUGCAGUGGGUACGGGCAGACUAGAGUGCGGUAGGGGAGACUGGAAUUCCUGGUGUAGCGGUGAAAUGCGCAGAUAUCAGGAGGAACACCGGUGGCGAAGGCGGGUCUCUGGGCCGUAACUGACGCUGAGGAGCGAAAGCAUGGGGAGCGAACAGG
This 253-nucleotide ribosomal RNA is filed under the name uncultured bacterium. Its description in RNAcentral is "partial 16S ribosomal RNA". It matches the Rfam family "Bacterial small subunit ribosomal RNA", at positions 524 to 776 of the family's 1533-position model. The record is from RNAcentral.